UUAUUUGUACCUUCAAGCAUUGCUUGGUGUUGGGUGUUUGUCUCGCCUUUGCGUGUAGACUUGCCUUAAAACAAUUGGCAGCCGGCGUAUUGAUUUUGGAGCGCAGUACAUCUCGCGCUUUGCACUUACAACGACGACGUCCAAAAGUACAUUUUAACACUCUUGACCUCGGAUCAGGUAGGGAUACCCGCUGAACUUAA
Molecule: unclassified non-coding RNA, 200 nt
Filed under: soil metagenome
Description: partial contains internal transcribed spacer 2 and large subunit ribosomal RNA
Source: RNAcentral